Small nucleolar RNA from Echinops telfairi (small Madagascar hedgehog), 126 nucleotides. NCBI's taxonomy places the organism in Eukaryota, Metazoa, Chordata, Mammalia, Afrosoricida, Tenrecidae. The record is from RefSeq and is a predicted model, not a curated record.
CUGCACUGUUCGUAACCUGUUACCAGACUGUACUGCCAACGGGUUCCAUUCCAGUGCAACAGAAAUUCCCAAAAUAAUACAAGAUUGACAAACUUGUCCAUCUGAUUUUAUAUUUGGGAGACAAGU